Molecule: ribosomal RNA, 447 nt
Filed under: uncultured bacterium
Lineage: Bacteria
Description: bacterial SSU rRNA
Rfam family: Bacterial small subunit ribosomal RNA
Source: RNAcentral
CCCAGACUCCUACGGGAGGCAGCAGUGGGGAAUAUUGCACAAUGGGGGAAACCCUGAUGCAGCAACGCCGCGUGAGUGAAGAAGUAUUUCGGUAUGUAAAGCUCUAUCAGCAGGGAAGAAGAUGACGGUACCUGAGUAAGAAGCCCCGGCUAACUACGUGCCAGCAGCCGCGGUAAUACGUAGGGGGCAAGCGUUAUCCGGAUUUACUGGGUGUAAAGGGAGCGUAGACGGUGAGACAAGUCUGAAGUGAAAGCCCGGGGCUCAACCCCGGGACUGCUUUGGAAACUGCCUGACUGGAGUGCUGGAGAGGCAAGCGGAAUUCCUAGUGUAGCGGUGAAAUGCGUAGAUAUUAGGAAGAACACCGGUGGCGAAGGCGGCUUGCUGGUCUGUAACUGACGCUGAGGUUCGAAAGCGUGGGUAGCAAACAGGAUUAGAUACCCCAGUACC